AGGAGGCAGCCGACCACGGUACGGUCAGCGACUGGGGUGAAGUCGUAACAAGGUAGCCGUAGGGGAACCUGCGGCUGGAUCACCUCCUUUCUAAGG
RNAcentral lists this ribosomal RNA (96 nucleotides) under Niveispirillum sp. SYP-B3756. RNAcentral's name for it is "partial 16S ribosomal RNA". It matches the Rfam family "Bacterial small subunit ribosomal RNA", at positions 1444 to 1533 of the family's 1533-position model. Lineage: Bacteria; Pseudomonadati; Pseudomonadota; Alphaproteobacteria; Rhodospirillales; Azospirillaceae. The record is from RNAcentral.